GUAGGUGGCAAGCGUUAUCCGGAAUUAUUGGGCGUAAAGCGCGCGUAGGCGGUUUUUAAGUCUGAUGUGAAAGCCCACGGCUCAACCGUGGAGGGUCAUUGGAAACUGGAAAACUUGAGUGCAGAAGAGGAAAGUGGAAUUCCAUGUGUAGCGGUGAAAUGCGCAGAGAUAUGGAGGAACACCAGUGGCGAAGGCGACUUUCUGGUCUGUAACUGACGCUGAUGUGCGAAAGCGUGGGGAUCAAACAGGAUUAGAUACCCUGGUAGUCCACGCCGUAAACGAUGAGUGCUAAGUGUUAGGGGUUUCCGCCCCUUAGUGCUGCAGCUAACGCAUUAAGCACUCCGCCUGGGGAGUACGACCGCAAGGUUG
This 369-nucleotide ribosomal RNA is filed under the name uncultured bacterium. RNAcentral describes it as "bacterial SSU rRNA". It matches the Rfam family "Bacterial small subunit ribosomal RNA", at positions 527 to 896 of the family's 1533-position model. The record is from RNAcentral.